UCCGUAGGUGAACCUGCGGAGGGAUCAUUACCGAGUUUACAACUCCCAAACCCCUGUGAACAUACCAUUCAUCGUUGCUUCGGCGGGACCGCCCCGGCGCCUCCGGGCCCGGACCCAGGCGCCCGCCGGAGGCCACAAACUCUUGUUUUCUUUCUUCAGUGGAUUAUUCUGAGUGAUACAAGCAAAUAAAUCAAAACUUUCAACAACGGAUCUCUUGGUUCUGGCAUCGAUGAAGAACGCAGCGAAAUGCGAUAAGUAAUGUGAAUUGCAGAAUUCAGUGAAUCAUCGAAUCUUUGAACGCACAUUGCGCCCGCUAGUACUCUAGCGGGCAUGCCUGUUCGAGCGUCAUUUCAACCCUCAGGCCCCCCUUCUCGGGGCCUGGUGUUGGGGAUCGGCCGCGCGGCGCUCCGGCGCCCCGGGGCCGGCCCCGAAAUCUAGUGGCGGUCUCGCUGUAGUCCUCCUCUGCGUAGUAGCACAACCUCGCACUGGAACUCGGCCUGGCCACGCCGUAAAACCCCCCCAACUUCUGAAUGUUGACCUCGGAUCAGGUAGGAAUACCCGCUGAACUUAAGCAUAUCAAUAAGCGGAGGA
This 591-nucleotide ribosomal RNA is filed under the name Nectria balansae. RNAcentral's name for it is "eukaryotic LSU rRNA". The stretch from base 195 to 348 matches the Rfam family "5.8S ribosomal RNA". Lineage: Eukaryota; Fungi; Ascomycota; Sordariomycetes; Hypocreales; Nectriaceae. The record is from RNAcentral.